This 253-nucleotide ribosomal RNA is filed under the name uncultured bacterium. Its description in RNAcentral is "partial 16S ribosomal RNA". It matches the Rfam family "Bacterial small subunit ribosomal RNA", at positions 524 to 776 of the family's 1533-position model. The record is from RNAcentral.
UACAGAGGGUGCGAGCGUUAAUCGGAAUUACUGGGCGUAAAGCGCACGUAGGUGGCGACGUAAGUCGCGUGUGAAAGCCCCCGGCUCAACUGGGGAGGGUCACGCGAUACUGAUCGACUCGAAGGCAGGAGAGGGUAGUGGAAUUCCCGGUGUAGUGGUGAAAUGCGUAGAUAUCGGGAGGAACACCAGUGGCGAAGGCGACUACCUGGCCUGUUCUUGACGCUGAGGCGCGAAAGCUAGGGGAGCAAACGGG